RNAcentral lists this long non-coding RNA (493 nucleotides) under Medicago truncatula (barrel medic). RNAcentral's name for it is "long non-coding RNA (MTRU_LNC002326)". Lineage: Eukaryota; Viridiplantae; Streptophyta; Magnoliopsida; Fabales; Fabaceae. The record is from RNAcentral.
GGAAAUUAGGAAAUCAUGGUUAGGGUUUGGAGGAGGGGAAUUAGGAAAUAUGGUUAGGUUUUGAAGGAGGGGAAUUAGGUUUUAGGAGGAGGGAAAUUAGGAAAUCAUGGUUAGGGUUUGGAGGAGGGGAAUUAGGAAAUAUGGUUAGGUUUUGAAGGAGGGGAAUUAGGUUUUAGGAGGAGGGAAAUUAGGAAAUCAUGGUUAGGGUUUGGAGGAGGGGAAUUAGGAAAUAUGGUUAGGUUUUGAAGGAGGGGAAUUAGGUUUUAGGAGGAGGGAAAUUAGGAAAUCAUGGUUAGGGUUUGGAGGAGGGGAAUUAGGAAAUAUGGUUAGGUUUUGAAGGAGGGAAAAGUGGCUAUAAUUUUUUAGGUUAAAUAUUAGGUGGAAUUAGGGCAACAAUGUUAGGUUUAUAAAUAAAAAGAAAUAUGGUUAGGUUUUGAAGGAGGGGAAUUAGGUUUUAGGAGGAGGGAAAUUAGGAAAUCAUGGUUAGGGUUUG